This 572-nucleotide long non-coding RNA is filed under the name Nicotiana benthamiana. RNAcentral's name for it is "long non-coding RNA (NBEN_LNC011397)". Lineage: Eukaryota; Viridiplantae; Streptophyta; Magnoliopsida; Solanales; Solanaceae. The record is from RNAcentral.
AACAAACCCUAUUUUGUUCCUAGCGGACAGAGAAACGAUUAUGUUUCUCCUCCAUACCCAAAACCAGUCCCUGAAAAGGGAUUAGCAGCCAAGGACACUCCGGGAACAUCGGAGGACAUAAGAUAUAAAGGACUCGAAGGUUCCGGCACAAAAUUAAUGGGAGCAGAACCAGAAGUAUCACUAAUAUUCACCAUUUUAAUGACUCAGAAUCCUUACCGAGCCCUAAACUUGACGAACCGUGAACACACAAAUGACGAAUCCAAAAAAUAACAGUCCAAACAGUCCGUUAACAUGCAAUCGACCUUAUCGAUGAUGUCGACGGAGUAGUGACCUAAAAAAAACGACAAACACGGCUAAAACAGAUCAACAAAAAAAACCCCUAGAUUUUUGAGAUACCGGAAAACCUGGAUGAAAAACGACGAGGUUAACAUCGGAGAGAAGCUGAUGAUGAGGAGAGUCGAAAAACCCGCUCUGAUACCAUGUUAAAACUCGCUAAUCUCCAUUACAGUUGCUGUAAUGUGAAGAAAUUUAGAGAGAAGAUGGAGCGAAAGAAGGAGAGAGAGAACUGUAUC